GGGGGUAGAUGGCGGCUGGUGUCGCCUCUGGUCUUCAAAACCAGUAUGAGGGGUUAGGAGCCUCUUGGGUGGGUUCGAUUCCCACAUACUCCCGCCA
RNAcentral lists this transfer RNA (97 nucleotides) under Caminicella sporogenes. RNAcentral describes it as "tRNA-Sec". It matches the Rfam family "Selenocysteine transfer RNA". Lineage: Bacteria; Bacillati; Bacillota; Clostridia; Peptostreptococcales; Caminicellaceae. The record is from RNAcentral.